This is a long non-coding RNA of Suricata suricatta (meerkat), 327 nucleotides long. RefSeq lists it as uncharacterized. The transcript is spliced from 2 exons. NCBI's taxonomy places the organism in Eukaryota, Metazoa, Chordata, Mammalia, Carnivora, Herpestidae. The record is from RefSeq and is a predicted model, not a curated record.
CUAUGGAAGCCACUUACAAAGUCCAAAUGUGAGGCCCUUCGUCCAUGGAAGCUGUAGGCCAAAUAGCCUUCCUCCUCUGCGUGCCCACAUAGACACAGGGCCACACACACCAGUAUAUUUCUGAGGAGGCAGAGGCAGAAUGGAGUACCUUGGUAUUACUGAGCUUCGUGGAGCAAGCCUGUGGACUUGGAUUAUUCAUCAUAACUGGCAGAGAUCCUACUAUCCAGAACCUUGCAACAUCUCAAUUUUCUUGCUCUAGUGAAUGUCAUAAUGAGCACAUGUACGAUGUGAGUUUAAGAAGAACUUUAAAUCUUUAUAGCAUUUUGA